This 69-nucleotide transfer RNA is filed under the name Xenophyes cascus. RNAcentral describes it as "tRNA-Met". Lineage: Eukaryota; Metazoa; Arthropoda; Insecta; Hemiptera; Peloridiidae. The record is from RNAcentral.
AGGGAAGUAAGCUAAAUUAAGCUUAUGGGCUCAUAUCUCAUCUAUGAAAAAUACUAUUUUUCCUUUCCU